AACGAACGCUGGCGGCAUGCCUAACACAUGCAAGUCGAACGAGACCUUCGGGUCUAGUGGCGCACGGGUGCGUAACACGUGGGAAUUUGCCUCGGGGUAUGGAAUAACUCAGGGAAACUUGAGCUAAUACCAUAUAAUGUCUUCGGACCAAAGAUUUAUCGCCCUGAGAUAAGCCCGCGUAGGAUUAGCUAGUUGGUGGGGUAAAGGCUCACCAAGGCGACGAUCCUUAGCUGGUCUGAGAGGAUGAUCAGCCACACUGGGACUGAGACACGGCCCAGACUCCUACGGGAGACAGCAGUGGGGAAGUAUUGGACAAUGGGCGGAAAGACCUGAUCCAGCAAUAGCCGCGUGAGUGAUGAAGGCC
This 364-nucleotide ribosomal RNA is filed under the name uncultured bacterium. Its description in RNAcentral is "bacterial SSU rRNA". It matches the Rfam family "Bacterial small subunit ribosomal RNA", at positions 29 to 416 of the family's 1533-position model. The record is from RNAcentral.